This 253-nucleotide ribosomal RNA is filed under the name uncultured bacterium. RNAcentral describes it as "partial 16S ribosomal RNA". It matches the Rfam family "Bacterial small subunit ribosomal RNA", at positions 524 to 776 of the family's 1533-position model. The record is from RNAcentral.
UACAGAGGGGGCAAGCGUUGUUCGGAAUUACUGGGCGUAAAGGGCGCGUAGGCGGCCUUCUAAGUCGAACGUGAAAUCCCCGGGCUCAACCCGGGAACUGCGUCCGAUACUGGAAGGCUUGAAUCCGGGAGAGGGAUGCGGAAUUCCAGGUGUAGCGGUGAAAUGCGUAGAUAUCUGGAGGAACACCGGUGGCGAAGGCAGGUCUCUGGGCUGACACUGACGCUCAUGCACGCAAGCGUGGGGAGCAAACAGG